UACGGGGGGAGCAAGCGUUGUCCGGAAUUAUUGGGCGUAAAGAGCUCGUAGGCGGUUUGUCGCGUCGGCCGUGAAAACUUGGGGCUUAACUCCAAGCUUGCGGUCGAUACGGGCAGACUUGAGUUCGGCAGGGGAGACUGGAAUUCCUGGUGUAGCGGUGAAAUGCGCAGAUAUCAGGAGGAACACCGGUGGCGAAGGCGGGUCUCUGGGCCGACACUGACGCUGAGGAGCGAAAGCGUGGGGAGCGAACAGG
RNAcentral lists this ribosomal RNA (253 nucleotides) under uncultured bacterium. RNAcentral describes it as "partial 16S ribosomal RNA". It matches the Rfam family "Bacterial small subunit ribosomal RNA", at positions 524 to 776 of the family's 1533-position model. The record is from RNAcentral.